AAGCUGACCCGGGUAGAAGAACCAAAGAGAGUGCUGCUCUACGUGCGGAAGGAGUCAGAAGAAGUCUUCGAUGCCCUGAUGCUCAAGACUCCAUCCUUGAAAGGCCUGAUGGAAGCUAUCUCUGAAAAAUAUGAUGUUCCCA
Long non-coding RNA from Capra hircus (goat), 142 nucleotides. RefSeq lists it as uncharacterized. The record is from RefSeq and is a predicted model, not a curated record. Lineage: Eukaryota; Metazoa; Chordata; Mammalia; Artiodactyla; Bovidae. The transcript has 3 exons.